GCCGAUGUCUGAUUAGCUAGUUGGUGAGGUAAAGGCUUACCAAGGCUUCGAUCAGUAGCUGGUCUGAGAGGACGACCAGCCACACUGGGACUGAGACACGGCCCAGACUCCUACGGGAGGCAGCAGUGGGGAAUUUUGGACAAUGGGGGAAACCCUGAUCCAGCCAUGCCGCGUGAGUGAAGAAGGCCUUCGGGUUGUAAAGCUCUUUCAGCCGGAACGAAAAGGUCACGGCUAAUACCUGUGACAAAUGACGGUACCGGAAGAAGA
RNAcentral lists this ribosomal RNA (267 nucleotides) under uncultured beta proteobacterium UMTRA-728-2. RNAcentral describes it as "partial 16S ribosomal RNA". It matches the Rfam family "Bacterial small subunit ribosomal RNA", at positions 229 to 488 of the family's 1533-position model. The record is from RNAcentral. RNAcentral also lists the same sequence under 1 other name. Lineage: Bacteria; Pseudomonadati; Pseudomonadota; Betaproteobacteria.